This 64-nucleotide transfer RNA is filed under the name Cavia porcellus (domestic guinea pig). It matches the Rfam family "tRNA", at positions 1 to 62 of the family's 71-position model. Rfam says of the family: Transfer RNA (tRNA) molecules are approximately 80 nucleotides in length. Lineage: Eukaryota; Metazoa; Chordata; Mammalia; Rodentia; Caviidae. The record is from Rfam by way of RNAcentral.
GAGGAUUUAGCUCAGUGGUGUAAGCUCCUGCCUGGCAAGCAGGAGGUCAUGAGUUUGAUCCUUG